CGGAGGGUGCAAGCGUUAUCCGGAUUCACUGGGUUUAAAGGGUGCGUAGGUGGGCAGGUAAGUCAGUGGUGAAAUCUCCGGGCUUAACUCGGAAACUGCCAUUGAUACUAUCUGUCUUGAAUACCGUGGAGGUCAGCGGAAUAUGUCAUGUAGCGGUGAAAUGCUUAGAUAUGACAUAGAACACCAAUUGCGAAGGCAGCUGGCUACACGAAUAUUGACACUGAAUGCACGAAAGCGUGGGGGAUCAAACAGGAUUAGAUACCCUGGUAGUCCACGCCCUAAACGAUGGAUACUCGACAUACGCGAUACACAGUGUGUGUCUGAGCGAAAGCAUUAAGUAUCCCACCUGGGAGUACGAUCGCAAGAUUG
This 369-nucleotide ribosomal RNA is filed under the name uncultured organism. RNAcentral describes it as "bacterial SSU rRNA". It matches the Rfam family "Bacterial small subunit ribosomal RNA", at positions 526 to 896 of the family's 1533-position model. The record is from RNAcentral.